This 424-nucleotide ribosomal RNA is filed under the name uncultured bacterium. RNAcentral's name for it is "bacterial SSU rRNA". It matches the Rfam family "Bacterial small subunit ribosomal RNA", at positions 355 to 776 of the family's 1533-position model. RNAcentral also lists the same sequence under 1 other name. The record is from RNAcentral.
UGAGGAAUAUUGGUCAAUGGACGCGAGUCUGAACCAGCCAAGUAGCGUGAAGGAUGACUGCCCUAUGGGUUGUAAACUUCUUUUAUAUGGGAAUAAAGUUGUCCACGUGUGGAUUUUUGUAUGUACCAUAUGAAUAAGGAUCGGCUAACUCCGUGCCAGCAGCCGCGGUAAUACGGAGGAUCCGAGCGUUAUCCGGAUUUAUUGGGUUUAAAGGGAGCGUAGGCGGAUUGUUAAGUCAGUUGUGAAAGUUUGCGGCUCAACCGUAAAAUUGCAGUUGAUACUGGCAGUCUUGAGUGCAGUAGAGGUGGGCGGAAUUCGUGGUGUAGCGGUGAAAUGCUUAGAUAUCACGAAGAACUCCGAUUGCGAAGGCAGCUCACUGGAGUGUAACUGACGCUGAUGCUCGAAAGUGUGGGUAUCAAACAGG